Molecule: ribosomal RNA, 493 nt
Filed under: uncultured bacterium
Lineage: Bacteria
Description: bacterial SSU rRNA
Rfam family: Bacterial small subunit ribosomal RNA
Source: RNAcentral
UGAACGAACGCUGGCGGCGUGGAUAAGACAUGCAAGUCGAGCGCCUAUUUCAGAGUAGCAAUAUUCCGAAGUGGGAGUGGCGUAAGGGUGCGUAACACGUGGGCAACCUGCCCUGAAGUUGGGAAUAACUCCGGGAAAUCGGAGCUAAUGCCGAAUGUAGUUGUGGAAAGGCAUCUUUCUACAACUAAAGCUGGGGACCGAAAGGCCUGGCGCUUCAGGAUGGGCCCGCGGCCUAUCAGCUAGUUGGUGAGGUAACGGCCCACCAAGGCGAAGACGGGUAGCUGGUCUGAGAGGACGACCAGCCACACUGGAACUGAGACACGGUCCAGACACCUACGGGUGGCAGCAGUCGAGAAUUUUUCACAAUGGGCGAAAGCCUGAUGGAGCGACGCCGCGUGGGGGAUGAAUGGCUUCGGCCCGUAAACCCCUGUCAUUCGGGAACAAACCUUCUUGGUGAACAGCCGAGAAGCUGAUAGACCGGAAGAGGAAGGCG